Betta splendens (Siamese fighting fish) is the source of this 1600-nucleotide long non-coding RNA. The record is from Ensembl. Lineage: Eukaryota; Metazoa; Chordata; Actinopteri; Anabantiformes; Osphronemidae.
GGGAAACGCGCGAAGCUGCAUCAGGAUGAAGGAGCGCUGGGAGCGAAUAAAGGGCGGCGUUGACGGAGACGCGCGUGCUCACGUCUAGAGGCAGCUCCACUCUAAGAGAAACCAGAACCAGAACUCUCUGCUUGUUGAGCCUGAUCUUCAUUCAGAGCCUGAGAUGGGUUCUCCUGAACCCGUCUGGGCCGAUGGCACCGUCACACACACAACCUGCUGUGUGGGUCACACUGGCUGGGACGUCUUUACUGGUGCAGGUCCUUGGAACCAGUCCAUGGACUGUGGACACUUUACUAGAGCUGCUUUUCUGUUUCAGUUAAUAAUAUUCUCAUUCUCUCACGCAGUGUUUUCCACGCUGCACAUUCAGGUUCGGGUUUUUCCAGGUGUAUUUACGGACACGUUCGGGUUCUCUCCGUUUCCCUCCAUCUGUUCGCGUCUUCUCCUCCACAAACUGUCAGAUCCCAGGAGGAUCCUCACCUACAGACCAGUGCUGUGUCCUUCACGGUUCCCUGCAGCCGCACACACACACACACACACACACACACACACACACACACACACACACACACACACACACACACACACACACACAGGACUUCCUGUCCCGUCUUAACCCGGUGAUGGGUUAUUUUACCUCAGGCCCAUUGUUCCUCUGGAGGUUUCUUCCGUAUCACCUCCACGCAGCCUCCCUCUCCCCCAGCAUCCAUCAUAUCACCCCCCCCCCCCCCCCCCCCUCCUCUCCCCUCUCUUAACUGUCUGUCUGUCUCAUUGUUUCACGCUCACCCUAUCUCACCUCCUGUCUCAUCCUCUCUCAUUCCAUCCCUCUUGCUCUAAAGCUCCUCCUGUUCUUUGCCUUUUACCUCAUCUCUGUCUUCUUUCACUUUGUCCCUUAACUUUCCUGCUGAAGCCCACACUCAGUGAUCUGUGUGCUGCAUUUGCUUUGGUUUUUGCUCACUGUCAUCGUUGAUGAUGGAUGAACGCGUCACCAUCUAAGCUGCUCACAUUGGCCACGCCCAUCAUGAUAUCACUUCCUGGUUUCAUCAAGGACCGUGACAAACACAUGGAGGCGAUAACUCCUAUAGAAGGUUAGCCUGGUUAGAUAGCUAGUUAGCUAGUUAUUUAGCUUAGCUGGUUUGCAUUAACUAUCCUGUUUGUUCACCACCAGUCUGUUGGUGUACUGGUUUUGGUUUGUUACUGGUUACACAUGUUUUGUUUGCAUCAUUACAUGUUAACAUGCCAACACGUUAGCGAUGCAUCGUCACCUGUGGUUCUGAUGCCGGGGGAGCGCUUAUGCAUUUUCAUGCACCAUCGCACUGCAUGUGUGGAGGCUGCACCGCCGCCAUCCUGCUUUUAACACUCUGCUGUUUGUCUUCAGCAAAAAUGACUUAAUGAUAAUAAUUACAGGCAAUGGCUUGAGUAACGCGAGGACACAAUUUAGUAAUUACAUGCCAGAGAUUAUUGAAUCAAUAGAGCAAAUUAAAUAAUUUGACGGCACAUUAGGAGCGGAUCAGUUAUUUAUUUUGCAGCGCUGUGGCUGAUCAGACUCUGUGCCAGGUAGAAUUGCAGCUUUUAGACACCAGAUGCAGGGAUGCUGUGUAAG